RNAcentral lists this ribosomal RNA (484 nucleotides) under uncultured bacterium. Its description in RNAcentral is "partial 16S ribosomal RNA". It matches the Rfam family "Bacterial small subunit ribosomal RNA", at positions 30 to 507 of the family's 1533-position model. The record is from RNAcentral.
AUUGAACGCUGGCGGCAGGCCUAACACAUGCAAGUCGAGCGGAUGAAGGGAGCUUGCUCCUGGAUUCAGCGGCGGACGGGUGAGUAAUGCCUAGGAAUCUGCCUGGUAGUGGGGGAUAACGUCCGGAAACGGGCGCUAACACCGCGUACGUCCUGAGGGAGAAAGUGGGGGAUCUUCGGACCUCACGCUAUCAGAUGAGCCUAGGUCGGAUUAGCUAGUUGGUGGGGUAAAGGCCUAACAAGGCUACGAUCCGUAACUGGUCUGAGAGGAUGAUCAGUCACACUGGAUCUGAGACACGGUCCAGACUCCUACGGGAGGCAGCAGUGGGGAAUAUUGGACGAUGGGCGAAAGCCUGAUCCAGCCAUGCCGCGUGUGUGAAGAAGGUCUUCGGAUUGUAAAGCACUUUAAGUUGGGAGGAAGUGCAGUAAGUUAAUACCUUGCUGUUUUGACGUUACCAACAGAAUAAGCACCGGCUAACUUCGUG